AUGCAAUGGUUGUACUUCCCAUGCAUUUGAGAGGGAACAUGCUUAUACCGCCAUUGUUCUUUCUGAAGUUGAAGCGUGUUUUCUUUCCUAAUAAAAUAAGAGUUCAAAGUAAUAAGGAGAAGGGUUAUGUAGAGCCAGAUGUUGAAAGGUACUGCAUAGCACCAGCUUACGGUCCAGAAUUUGGUUGGUUGAUUUUUGGUUCUUUUUCUUUUUUUUUCUUUUUUUUUUUUUUUUGUGUGUGUGUGUGUGUGUGGUGCUGAUGUUGGCACCAGAUCCAUUAAAAUGAUUUUCUGUUUUUCAUGUGCUUCAACAUCUGCUGUAUCAACAGUGGAGCAGUACAGCAGACCAACUAGCCCCAUAACAGAAGACUUUAGCAAGCAACUAAAACAGAAACUCUCCUCAAGCAAACAUCAGAGGAUGCUGUGCAGCUGCUGAGCUUUUGCAAGUAGGGAGGGAAGGAGACCUCUGGGUUGGGUUCUCUUCUGCCAUCAGCUGGAGGACAGGAUUAAUGAUGAGACAGGAGACCAGACCCACUGGAUGCAGGAGUGAGGGAAGGAGGGUGUUGUUAUUUGCAGGAGAUAUCUGUGAUUGGUGGAGAAGAGCACUAUUAUCUUAGAGGCUGUGUACCAAGAAUAGGAGCACAUAUUGAUGUGCAAUGCUCAGCAACUCAACAGUGAUAAGAGGUAAGAAAAUGACAGUUUACAUUUUGAUCUGCAUUUUCAGUGCAUAGUGUUGUAUGGAGUGUGGGGGCUUUCAGCUUGUGCACGCGCUGUUAAAUUUCUGUGCUCUUCCAUUUCUUUGGAAGCACGAAAGGA
This is a long non-coding RNA of Pezoporus occidentalis (night parrot), 815 nucleotides long. RefSeq lists it as uncharacterized. NCBI's taxonomy places the organism in Eukaryota, Metazoa, Chordata, Aves, Psittaciformes, Psittacidae. The record is from RefSeq and is a predicted model, not a curated record. The transcript has 3 exons.